RNAcentral lists this ribosomal RNA (42 nucleotides) under Amanita farinosa. Its description in RNAcentral is "partial 18S ribosomal RNA". The record is from RNAcentral. Lineage: Eukaryota; Fungi; Basidiomycota; Agaricomycetes; Agaricales; Amanitaceae.
UUAAUAGUCUGCAGUAAGGUGAACCUGCGGAAGGAUCAUUAU